RNAcentral lists this ribosomal RNA (445 nucleotides) under uncultured bacterium. RNAcentral describes it as "partial 16S ribosomal RNA". It matches the Rfam family "Bacterial small subunit ribosomal RNA", at positions 356 to 793 of the family's 1533-position model. The record is from RNAcentral.
AGGGAAUCUUCCACAAUGGACGAAAGUCUGAUGGAGCAACGCCGCGUGAGUGAAGAAGGUUUUCGGAUCGUAAAGCUCUGUUGUUGGUGAAGAAGGAUAGAGGCAGUAACUGGUCUUUAUUUGACGGUAAUCAACCAGAAAGUCACGGCUAACUACGUGCCAGCAGCCGCGGUAAUACGUAGGUGGCAAGCGUUGUCCGGAUUUAUUGGGCGUAAAGCGAGCGCAGGCGGAAUGAUAAGUCUGAUGUGAAAGCCCACGGCUCAACCGUGGAACUGCAUCGGAAACUGUCAUUCUUGAGUGCAGAAGAGGAGAGUGGAACUCCAUGUGUAGCGGUGGAAUGCGUAGAUAUAUGGAAGAACACCAGUGGCGAAGGCGGCUCUCUGGUCUGCAACUGACGCUGAGGCUCGAAAGCAUGGGUAGCGAACAGGAUUAGAUACCCUGGUAG